AAAGGUGGAUUAGCGGCGGACGGGUGAGUAACACGUGAGUAACCUGCCUUAGACAUUGGGAUAGCCUCGGGAAACCGGGAUUAAUACCAAAUAAAAUCAUAGUGACACAUGUCAUAACGAUCAAAACUCCGGUGGUCUAAGAUGGACUCGCGUCCCAUUAGCUAGUUGGUAGAGUAAAAGCCUACCAAGGCGACGAUGGGUAGCCGGCCUGAGAGGGUGAACGGCCACAUUGGAACUGAGAAACGGUCCAA
This 251-nucleotide ribosomal RNA is filed under the name uncultured Eubacteriales bacterium. RNAcentral describes it as "uncultured Clostridiales bacterium partial 16S ribosomal RNA". It matches the Rfam family "Bacterial small subunit ribosomal RNA", at positions 83 to 334 of the family's 1533-position model. The record is from RNAcentral. Lineage: Bacteria; Bacillati; Bacillota; Clostridia; Eubacteriales.